AUUGAACGCUGGCGGCAGGCCUAACACAUGCAAGUCGAGCGGAGCGGCGGACGGGUGAGUAAUGCCUAGGAAUCUGCCUGGUAGUGGGGGAUAACGUCCGGAAACGGGCGCUAAUACCGCAUACUAUCAGAUGAGUCUAGGUCGGAUUAGCUAGUUGGUGGGGUAAAGGCCUACCAAGGCGACGAUCCGUAACUGGUCUGAGAGGAUGAUCAGUCACACUGGAACUGAGACACGGUCCAGACGCCUACGGGAGGCAGCAGUGGGGAAGAGUGGACAGUGGGCGAAAGCCUGAUCCAGCCAGGCCGCGUGUGUGAAGAAGGUCUUCGGAUUGUAAAGCACUUUUAGUGGGUGGGCGUUACCAACAGAAUAAGCACCGGCUAACUACGUGCCAGCAGCCGCGGUAAUUC
This 407-nucleotide ribosomal RNA is filed under the name uncultured bacterium. RNAcentral describes it as "partial 16S ribosomal RNA". It matches the Rfam family "Bacterial small subunit ribosomal RNA", at positions 30 to 526 of the family's 1533-position model. The record is from RNAcentral.